This 406-nucleotide ribosomal RNA is filed under the name uncultured bacterium. RNAcentral describes it as "partial 16S ribosomal RNA". It matches the Rfam family "Bacterial small subunit ribosomal RNA", at positions 30 to 526 of the family's 1533-position model. The record is from RNAcentral.
AUUGAACGCUGGCGGCAGGCCUAACACAUGCAAGUCGAACGAGUGGCGGACGGGUGAGUAAUGUCUGGGAAACUGCCCGAUGGAGGGGGAUAACUACUGGAAACGGUAGCUAAUACCGCAUACCAUCGGAUGUGCCCCGAUGGGAUUAGCUAGUAGGUGGGGUAACGGCUCACCUAGGCUACGAUCCCUCGCUGGUCUGAGAGGAUGACCAGCCACACUGGAACUGAGAAACGGUCCAGACUCCUACGGGAGGCAGCAGUGGGGAAUAUUGGACAAUGGGGGAAAGCCUGAUUCAGCCAUGCCGCGUGUAUGAAGAAGGCCUUCGGGUUGUAAGGUACGUUUAGCAGGGAGGCGUUACCUGCAGAAGAAGCACCGGCUAACUACGUGCCAGCAGCCGCGGUAAUAC